This 323-nucleotide unclassified non-coding RNA is filed under the name soil metagenome. RNAcentral's name for it is "partial contains 5.8S ribosomal RNA, internal transcribed spacer 2, and large subunit ribosomal RNA". The stretch from base 1 to 120 matches the Rfam family "5.8S ribosomal RNA", at positions 35 to 154 of the family's 154-position model. The record is from RNAcentral.
GAUGAAGAACGCAGCGAAAUGCGAUAAGUAGUGUGAAUUGCAGAAUUCAGUGAAUCAUCGAAUCUUUGAACGCGCAUUGCGUCCCUUGGUAUUCCAUGGGGCAUGCCUGUUCGAGCGUCAUUUGUACCUUCAAGCUUUGCUUGGUGUUGGGUGUUUGUCCUGAGGGACUCGCCUUAAAGUAAUUGGCAGCCAGUGUUUGGUUUUGAAGCGCAGCACAAGUCGCGAUUCAAGGCUAUACACCAGCUUCCACAAGCCUUUUUCACUUUUGACCUCGGAUCAGGUAGGGAUACCCGCUGAACUUAAGCAUAUCAAUAAGCGGAGGA